CCCGCCGGCGACCGGCGCACGGGUGAGUAACACGUAUGAAACCUGCCCGUAGCAGGGGGAUAAGCGGAAGAAAUUCCGUCUAAUACCGCGUAACAACCCAUGGAGGCAUCUCUGUGGGUUUAAAGGAAGCGAUUCCGGCUACGGAUGGUCAUGCGUCGCAUUAGCUUGUUGGCGGGGUAACGGCCCACCAAGGCGACGAUGCGUAGGGGUUCUGAGAGGAAGGCCCCCCACACUGGUACUGAGACACGGACCAGACUCCUACGGGAGGCAGCAG
This 274-nucleotide ribosomal RNA is filed under the name uncultured bacterium. Its description in RNAcentral is "partial 16S ribosomal RNA". It matches the Rfam family "Bacterial small subunit ribosomal RNA", at positions 84 to 354 of the family's 1533-position model. The record is from RNAcentral.